CACUGAGGGCAUACUACACUCAUCACAGAAAAUUUUUCAUCUUUUGCAGAGGGACCGUUGAAGUUGUGGCUGUUGAAGCCUCUGUGUGCUUAAUGGAAAUCUCCUGUGUUCACAUGAACAAAACUGACAUAAGAGGUUUUCAUGGCUUGAACAGUGAGGCUUCAGCUUACGAGACUAAGCAACACUGAAUGUGUUAGAGCUGCCAACAGCCCCCUAAAUCAUUAAACCUGAAGAAGGCAACUACAAAGUUUGCUGAAACACUGGACAGCUUUCAGCAUUUGAUGUGAACUAUUCCUGAAUGCUGAGGCAAGACAUACAAGCUGAGUCGACCCCUGGGACACGGUGUGGCUGGAAGGAAAAAAGCCAGCUGUUGCUAUGCAAUGGCAUGGUAAACGCUUUUCUGUGGCAACAAAUAAACAUGCAACAAUAGAAGAAUUGUUGGAAGUGCUGAGGCUUAUAGCAAGGACCAAUAAAAAAAGCUAUGGAGUUUGGAGUCGCACCGUUAGAUGUCACUACCAAGCAACGUCUAGUAAAGAUACGGCAGACUAAGAAGGGCUAGU
Cryptotermes secundus is the source of this 560-nucleotide long non-coding RNA. RefSeq lists it as uncharacterized. The record is from RefSeq and is a predicted model, not a curated record. The transcript is spliced from 3 exons. NCBI's taxonomy places the organism in Eukaryota, Metazoa, Arthropoda, Insecta, Blattodea, Kalotermitidae.